This 244-nucleotide long non-coding RNA is filed under the name Glycine max (soybean). Its description in RNAcentral is "long non-coding RNA (GMAX_LNC003570)". Lineage: Eukaryota; Viridiplantae; Streptophyta; Magnoliopsida; Fabales; Fabaceae. The record is from RNAcentral.
AGGAUUCCAUGUAUUUAACCCAAACAGGAUUUGAAGGAAUUGACAGAGUAAACAUCAUCAUCUUUCACCAACCUUUGCCCAAAAAUCUCACAAUUUGUUAGUUAGUUUGACCAAUCCCAAAUAGAACAAAAUAUUUUGAAGGUAUAAGACGAUAAAUAAACAAAGAAAAACAUAUGCAACAUCAUGCAUAUUCAAAAUAGAAAUAAUCAUAAUGCAGAUGCCAAGUAAAAGAAAGAAACUAAGA